AGAGUUUGAUCCUGGCUCAGAACGAACGCUGGCGGCAGGCCUAACACAUGCAAGUCGAACGGGGACCUUCGGGUCUUACGUGGCGCACGGGUGAGUAACGCGUGGGAAUCCACCCCAAAGUCGGGGAUAACCGCUGGAAACGGCGGCUAAUACCGGAUACGCCCUGAGGGGCAAAGCUUUAGCGCUUUGGGACGAGCCCGCGUCCGAUUAGCUAGUUGGUGGGGUAAAGGCCUACCAAGGCUGCGAUCGGUAGCUGGUCUGAGAGGAUGAUCAGCCACACUGGGACUGAGACACGGCCCAGACUCCUACGGGAGGCAGCAGUGGGGAAUCUUGGACAAUGGGGGCAACCCUGAUCCAGCCAUGCCGCGUGGGUGAAGAAGGCCUUAGGGUUGUAAAGCCCUUUCGGCGGGGAAGAUGAUGACGGUACCCGCAGAAGAAGCCCCGGCUAACUCCGUGCCAGCAGCCGCGGUAAUACGGAGGGGGCUAGCGUUGUUCGGAAUCACUGGGCGUAAAGGGCGCGUAGGCGGACCACCAAGUCAGGGGUGAAAGCCCUGGGCUCAACCUAGGAAGUGCCCUUGAAACUGAUGGUCUUGAGUCCGGGAGAGGAGAGCGGAAUUCCCAGUGUAGAGGUGAAAUUCGUAGAUAUUGGGAAGAACACCGGUGGCGA
This 667-nucleotide ribosomal RNA is filed under the name uncultured bacterium. Its description in RNAcentral is "bacterial SSU rRNA". It matches the Rfam family "Bacterial small subunit ribosomal RNA", at positions 8 to 718 of the family's 1533-position model. The record is from RNAcentral.